GGGAUUCGAAACGGAAGGUAGGUCAAAAAAACAGGGGAGCGACGGUGGUUUUGCGCACGUCCUCCGGCCACGCCAGCAUACCCAGCCAAAGGUCUCCGGCGGCAGAUGAGCACCCGUGCCCCCCUUCCGGCUGGCGUCCGCCUGCUCCCAUCCUUUCCGGCCGAGGAUUCCGCGUUCGAUUUCCUCUUUCGGGCGGAGCCAGGGAACUCGCCCAGCUUCCAGCUAGACAGUUCGAGCAAUCCGGUCCAUUCGGACCGGCCGUUGGCUAAUGACGGUCGACUCUUCACAUUUCAGCAGUGUAUCUAAAAUUUUUGGUCUCUCAGCGCGCGCGCGCGUGUGCAUAUACCAUCAUUAUUUCUUAAA
RNAcentral lists this long non-coding RNA (363 nucleotides) under Phoenix dactylifera (date palm). Its description in RNAcentral is "long non-coding RNA (PDAC_LNC006207)". The record is from RNAcentral. Lineage: Eukaryota; Viridiplantae; Streptophyta; Magnoliopsida; Arecales; Arecaceae.